RNAcentral lists this unclassified non-coding RNA (371 nucleotides) under uncultured Mollicutes bacterium. RNAcentral's name for it is "contains 16S-23S intergenic spacer region". The record is from RNAcentral. Lineage: Bacteria; Bacillati; Mycoplasmatota; Mollicutes.
UCCAGUUUGUCACUGGCAGUCUCGCUAGAGUCCUCAACUUAAUGGUAGUAACUAACGACAAGGGUUGCGCUCGUUGCGGGACUUAACCCAACAUCUCACGACACGAGCUGACGACAACCAUGCACCACCUGUCUAAGAUGUCCCGAAGGAAAGGUAUAUCUCUAUACCGGUCAUCUCGAUGUCAAGGCCUGGUAAGGUUCUUCGCGUUGCGUCGAAUUAAACCACAUGCUCCACCGCUUGUGCGGGUCCCCGUCAAUUCCUUUGAGUUUCAGUCUUGCGACCGUACUUCCCAGGCGGAGUACUUAUUGCGUUAACUUCAGCACCGAGGUUUCCCCCAACACUUAGUACUCAUCGUUUACGGCGUGGACUAC